Small nuclear RNA from Monodelphis domestica (gray short-tailed opossum), 108 nucleotides. NCBI's taxonomy places the organism in Eukaryota, Metazoa, Chordata, Mammalia, Didelphimorphia, Didelphidae. The record is from Ensembl.
GUGCUUGCUUCAGCAGCGCAUAUACUAAAAUUGGAAUAAUAACAGAGAAGAUUAGCGUGGCCCUGGUGCAAGGAUGACACACAAAUUCAUGACGUGUUCCAUAUUUUU